RNAcentral lists this ribosomal RNA (1383 nucleotides) under metagenome. Its description in RNAcentral is "SSU rRNA". It matches the Rfam family "Eukaryotic small subunit ribosomal RNA", at positions 1 to 1435 of the family's 1831-position model. The record is from RNAcentral.
UCUGGUUGAUCCUGCCAGUAGCAUAUGCUUGUCUCAAAGAUUAAGCCAUGCAUGUCUAAGUAUAAAUAGUAUACAGUGAAACUGCGAAUGGCUCAUUAAAACAGUUAUAGUUUAUUUGAUAAUGGAAGCCUACAUGGAUAACCGUAGUAAUUCUAGAGCUAAUACAUGCUGUUAAACCUGACUUUUUGGAAGGGUUGUAUUUAUUAGAUAUUAAGCCAAUAUUCCUUCGGGUUUAUUGUGGUGAAUCAUAGUAACUGAUCGAAUCUCCUUUUAGGAGAUAAAUCAUUCAAGUUUCUGCUCUAUCAGCUUUCGAUGGUAGUGUAUUGGACUACCAUGGCAGUCACGGGUAACGGAGAAUUAGGGUUCGAUUCCGGAGAGGGGAGCCUGAGAAACGGCUACCACAUCUAAGGAAGGCAGCAGGCGCGUAAAUUACCCAAUCCUGACUCAGGGAGGUAGUGACAAGAAAUAACAACCCGGGGUAUUCAUUUACUUACGGGAUUGCAAUGAGAACAAUUUAAAUCACUUAGCGAGGAUCAAUUGGAGGGCAAGUCUGGUGCCAGCAGCCGCGGUAAUUCCAGCUCCAAUAGUGUAUAUUAAAGUUGUUGCAGUUAAAAAGCUCGUAGUUGAACUUCUGGCAGUGUGCAGUUAUGGCUUCGGUCAGACUGUUCGCUGUCAUCCGUCUGCAAACCUUGUUCGGCCUUUACUGGUACGGCAAGGGGAGUGGACAUUUUACUUUGAAAAAAUUAGAGUGUUUCAAGCAGGCUAUGGCCAGAAUACUUUAGCAUGGAAUAAUGGAAUAGGACUCUUGUCCAUUUGGUUGGUUAUUGGAUUAGAGUAAUGAUUAAUAGGGACAGUUGGGGGCAUUAGUAUUUAAUUGUCAGAGGUGAAAUUCAUGGAUUUAUUAAAGACUAACUUAUGCGAAAGCAUUUGCCAAGGAUGUUUUCAUUAAUCAAGAACGAAAGUUAGGGGAUCAAAGACGAUCAGAUACCGUCCUAGUCUUAACUAUAAACGAUGUCGACUCGGGAUUGGAAAGGUCGAUUUAUCCUUUCCAGCACCGUAUGAGAAAUCAUUAAGUCUUUGGAUUCUGGGGGGAGUAUGGUCGCAAGGCUGAAACUUAAAGGAAUUGACGGAAGAGCACCACCAGGCGUGGGACCUGCGGCUUAAUUUGACCCAACACGGGAAAACUUAUUUCGGCAAAACAUGAGUGGGAUUGACAGAUUGAGAGCUCUUUCUUGAUUUUAUGGGGUGUGGUGCAUGGCCGUUCUUAGUUGGUGGAGUGAUUUGUCUGGUUAAUUCCGUUAACGAACGAGACCUUAACCUGCUAACUAGUCUCCUCGUCACCAACGGGGGGUACUUCUUAGAGGGACUAUGGUUCGAUAAGAC